GCAUUAAAGGCAACGCCUGCCCAGUGAAAAUUAAACGGCCGCGGUACCCUAACCGUGCAAAGGUAGCAUAAUCAUUUGUCUAUUAAUUGUAGACCUGUAUGAAAGGCAAAAUGAGAGCCCAGCUGUCUCCUAUAACAAAUCAAUUAAACUGAUCUCCUAGUACAAAAGCUAGAAUACCAACAUAAGACCAGAAGACCCUGUGAAGCUUUAACUAACCUAUUAAACCCAAUAAUAGCUACUUUCGGUUGGGGCGACCUUGGAAUAAAAAAGAACUUCCAACACUAUGACUUAUCAUAAAACAAGGCAAACAGGCCAACAUUAGACCCAGUAUCACUGACAAUUGAAAUAAGUUACUCCAGGGAUAACAGCGCUAUCUUCUUUAAGAGCCCAUAUCAAAAAGAAGGUUUACGACCUCGAUGUUGGAUCAGGGCAUCCUAGUGAUGCAACCGUUACUAAAGGUUCGUUUGUUCAACGAUUAAUAGCCCUACGUGAUCU
RNAcentral lists this ribosomal RNA (495 nucleotides) under Bothriechis guifarroi (Guifarro's palm-pitviper). Its description in RNAcentral is "partial 16S ribosomal RNA". It matches the Rfam family "Bacterial large subunit ribosomal RNA", at positions 1843 to 2606 of the family's 2925-position model. Lineage: Eukaryota; Metazoa; Chordata; Lepidosauria; Squamata; Viperidae. The record is from RNAcentral.